Long non-coding RNA from Phacochoerus africanus (Common warthog), 1179 nucleotides. RefSeq lists it as uncharacterized. NCBI's taxonomy places the organism in Eukaryota, Metazoa, Chordata, Mammalia, Artiodactyla, Suidae. The record is from RefSeq and is a predicted model, not a curated record. The transcript has 3 exons.
AUGCUUUCUUUUUUCAUUCUGUUCCUUUCUUCCUGUGUGCAGAGAGUGAAGGAAGAUCUACGUGUCCAGGUCGGACCUCCUUGGGGCUGCAGAGAGGUACCCAGUCUUUUCAACAUUUCCAGCUCCAAGUGGACACAUCGAGGAGUCAUCUCACCUUCUUCGCGUCUCUUCCUCACAUUGUCCAGCGGAUUCAGUCCCCCAGCAGCCACCCGGCAUGUAUCUUCAGUACCCUGUUAUUUCUCUUCGUUUUCUCCCUUCAUCGAGCCCAACCUGGAUGAAGCCCUAUGAUUUCUCAGAUGCUGUCCUAGCCCCUCCAUAGCACGAGACCCGGGCACUCCAAACGGGCCACAUUCCUCGAGAACAGGACUUACUCCCCUUGGGACCGAGCCCCAUACCUGGCAGGAACUCACAUUGUGGUUUGGAGUCCACUUAAAAGUAAACCUUGAAACUGGACCUUAAGUGCGGGAGGCAAUCUCACAAGAAGCAGCUGAGCAGGAAGAGGGAAAAAAAGCCUCCACCGCAAGUAGGUCACUCCUACGGGCACCCAGGACUCGGUUGCACCAGGGACCGUCUGAGGAGCCAUCUGGAACAUUCCUCAGGGAAGCUGGGGUCUUUAUCCCGUACCUCCCAUGGGUCUUUGUUUAAAGGCUGUCCUCUACCUUCUGGACGGCCCGCUUGCAGACUGAACAAACCCCUGCAGCCUAAGAGGAAGCCCCAGCCUGUCAGGAGGAGCAGCGUGGGUUUGAGAUGCUAGCCACUGGAGUUCAUCUGCCACCGCGGCAGGCAGACCAGGGUGCAUCUGCCAUGGCAAAGAUGGCAGGACCUUUUGUUGAAUGGAUGAAUUUUUUUUAAGAAGAUUGCGAUGGACUGUGGACUGGAGAGGCUGGAGUUGGGGUGAUUUCUUAAUCAGCGAUUUUAUUUAAUAUUUUUAUGUGUUUAUAAUUUAGAGUGAAGAAGCAUAUCUAGCAUAGGGUGUCACUCAUCGAAUUGGCAGGGAAUAUAGAAUUCGAAAGCUUUUUGAGAACCUGGAGUCUGUCUAGUUUCUCUUCCUCCAAUUAUAGAAGCUACAGUUAUUGUUUCCUCACACGCUUGUGAACACAAAUGCUAAGAGCUUGUCGUCACCUUGUGCUUGGAAAACUCACUGGUUUAGGAGUUAUUCUCAUUAAAUAUUAAAUCUUA